AAUACACUUUUACCGCACUGAUGGUUCUUAGGCUCAAAGUAGAAGAGACAAAAUCAUUGAUGAGCAUGUUUGGUGUCUGCUUAAGUUUUGUCCUGUUUUUAUUGAUCAACAGAAAUCUAAGAAACUGUAGCUUGGGUGGAGCAGUUCCCGAUCUUAGCAAGAUGCUAUAUCUUAGUUUUAUAGAUUUGAGUUGGAAUAAGUUCACCGGAGCAGUUCCUUCAAACAAGAUGUCAGAUAACGUCACUACAAUCAACUUACAGAGGCUAUUAGUCCUUUGACUAAGGAAACACAGAAAGUGUUUCAUUAUCAUAGCGCUCUUAAAGAAAAACUUAAUGGUGAACUUGAGAAGCAGGCUGAAAUAUGGAGAAAGCGACAGCAGGAAGUUGACGACCUUCUCAAACUUAAAUCCAAGAUAAACGAGUAUGAUGAGACUAAGAAAGAAGAGCGCUUAAAAGAGCUACAAGUAAGAAAGUCACAGUGAGAAUCUCAGCGUGAGAACUAUGGUCAGAGGAAGAAGAAAAUAUCUGAUGAAUUGGAAAGUGCACGGGAAAUCAAGAAGAACCAAGAGUUAUUGAGACAUAAUAUUGAUGACAACAUUAUAUACAGGGAGGCAAAAGCUAGAGUAGCUGAGCUGACUCAUGACCUUGACUUGCUGGAGCAGAGACUAGUAGAGAUGGGUAGUUCUGAGAUAAUUGAGUCUGAGCUAUUUAAGUUAAACACUUAAACAAAGAAAGAGACAGGCUUCUGUCUGAGAUGGCAGGCUGCAAUCUUUUCAAUUGGUUAGGUGACCUUUUACUAAAUGCUGGGUGCAAACCUAACUUGUAUCGACUGAGUUUGAAGUACACAAAUGUAUUAUGACAGCCAAGCAUUAUGGGAUCUUCUAUUCUAUUUUACAUCGCUGCUUUUGGGGGUGGCACCACCAUGCCCAUACCCAUUGGCUCCGUGGCCUCAGCAGGCCCGUCCACCAGCAGUGCGUGGUGGCACCACCAUGCCCAUACCCAUCGGCUCCGUGGCCUCAGCAAGCCUGUCCACCAGCAGCCCGUGGCCCAGGGAUACUUGGAGCUAGACCUCAGCAGGCGUAUGCAACGUCAGUUGCACCUCCAUCCCAAGUUGGAUACACUCCGACACACAUUGAAGCAGCAAUGCACACCCUCACUCUCACUCUCACUCCGCCGGAUGGAAAUUGGUAUAUGGAUACCGGUGCAACAUCUCAUAUGACAUCGGACCUGUUAGGUUAUGAAAAAUAUAAACAAUAUAAUUCAUGCGGAAAAACAAUAAAUCCAGGAAUCCAAAUUAAUUGCCACAUGCAUAGUCAAUUAGCAUAAUUAGGAUCAAAUGUUGCCCUUCAGUAGAUAGUCCACACCACGUUCGGAUCCGCCUCAGAUUCAAUUAACUAGAAUAUUAUCUAAGGUUUUAUGUGCACUCGGAAAGUUUAUUAUUAAUUUUAGGCAAAUUAUUAAAUUCUUUCUUGAACUUAAUGUAUGUGAAUA
This is a long non-coding RNA of Spinacia oleracea (spinach), 1490 nucleotides long. RefSeq lists it as uncharacterized. The record is from RefSeq and is a predicted model, not a curated record. Lineage: Eukaryota; Viridiplantae; Streptophyta; Magnoliopsida; Caryophyllales; Amaranthaceae. The transcript has 5 exons.